RNAcentral lists this transfer RNA (77 nucleotides) under Maricaulis sp. RNAcentral's name for it is "tRNA-Pro". It matches the Rfam family "tRNA". From Rfam's summary of the family: Transfer RNA (tRNA) molecules are approximately 80 nucleotides in length. Their secondary structure includes four short double-helical elements and three loops (D, anti-codon, and T loops). Further hydrogen bonds mediate the characteristic L-shaped molecular structure. tRNAs have two regions of fundamental functional importance: the anti-codon, which is responsible for specific mRNA codon recognition, and the 3' end, to which the tRNAs corresponding amino acid is attached (by aminoacyl-tRNA synthetases). tRNAs cope with the degeneracy of the genetic code in two manners: having more than one tRNA (with a specific anti-codon) for a particular amino acid; and 'wobble' base-pairing, i.e. permitting non-standard base-pairing at the 3rd anti-codon position. RNAcentral also lists the same sequence under 4 other names. Lineage: Bacteria; Pseudomonadati; Pseudomonadota; Alphaproteobacteria; Maricaulales; Maricaulaceae. The record is from RNAcentral.
CGGGGCGUGGCGCAGUCUGGUAGCGCAUCUGCUUUGGGAGCAGAGGGUCGUUGGUUCGAAUCCAGCCGCCCCGACCA